This 968-nucleotide long non-coding RNA is filed under the name Homo sapiens (human). RNAcentral describes it as "non-protein coding lnc-DDX18-1:2". The record is from RNAcentral. Lineage: Eukaryota; Metazoa; Chordata; Mammalia; Primates; Hominidae.
CGGACCAAGUGCCCCCUGCACUUUCAACGCCGUAGGUCUCCCGGCAGCCCUGGAAGGACAGUCUUACCCGGACGCCACGGUGGUCUCCCGGCAGCCCUGGGAAGGACAGUCUUACCCGGACGCCACGGUGGUCUCCCGGCAGCCCUGGGAAGGACAGUCUUACCCGGACGCCACGGCCGAGCUGCCCUUCCCUCCCUGCUGCCCCCAGGGAAGGCUGCUGGUGUCCUCAGAUGCGGGCAGGAGGAACCCGCCAGCGCCUGAGAGCCUGGCCCGAACCAGGCCUGGAGGUGCUGGGGCGAAGACACAGAGGAUGUGGCCUCCAUCCCUGGUAACAGACGGUUACCAGGGCGGCUUUGGGUGAGGACAUUGAAAAAGGUCAGACUCCCUGGGAGCAGCGCCCUGGACUCCAUUCUCAUCACAGACCAGUGGUUCCCAAUUGAAGUCAGUUUUGCUCCUCAGGGCACACUUAACAACAUCUGGAGACAUUUUUAAUUGUCCUGACCGAGAGGACAAUGCUACUGGCAUCUAGUGGACAGAGGCCAGGGAUACUGCUGAACAUCCCGCAGUGCACAGGACGCCUGCAACACAGAUUAUCCAGCCCCAAACGUCAAUAGUGCCGGAGUUAUGGAACCCUAAUGAAGACAAUUCUUGAAGGCAUAGACUGAAUCUUAUUUAUCUUUGUUUCCCUCAUGUCUCACAAGCAGAGUAUGAGUUCAGCAAAUAGGAGUUGAACAGAAAUCAGGAGGAGGUGCUGAUUGACAGGAAAAAAGAAAGAUUUAGUUUAGAGCUGAGAAUUCAGCUGGACAGCCAUAGGGGCUCUGGCAUGGAGACUGGAAGUCAGAAGAGAAUUUGCAGCAAGACAUUUAGAGCCAUUUAUCCAGCCAUCAUAAUUUUAUUGAGUAACUAUUUUGUGUGAGGCACUGUACUGGAUGCUUUGGCAACAGAGAUAAGCAAGGCAACCCCUGUGA